UACAGAGGGUGCUAGCGUUGUUCGGAAUCAUUGGGCGUAAAGGGCGUGUAGGCGGUUUGUUAAGUCAUGUGUGAAAGCCCCCGGCUCAACCGGGGAACGACGCAUGAAACUGGCAAGCUAGAGUACCGAAGAGGGGGGUGGAAUUCCCGGCGUAGCGGUGAAAUGCGUAGAUAUCGGGAGGAACACCUGUGGCGAAGGCGGCCCCCUGGUCGGAUACUGACGCUGAGACGCGAAAGCGUGGGGAGCAAACAGG
RNAcentral lists this ribosomal RNA (253 nucleotides) under uncultured bacterium. RNAcentral's name for it is "partial 16S ribosomal RNA". It matches the Rfam family "Bacterial small subunit ribosomal RNA", at positions 524 to 776 of the family's 1533-position model. The record is from RNAcentral.